This is a long non-coding RNA of Gossypium arboreum, 592 nucleotides long. RefSeq lists it as uncharacterized. The transcript is spliced from 4 exons. NCBI's taxonomy places the organism in Eukaryota, Viridiplantae, Streptophyta, Magnoliopsida, Malvales, Malvaceae. The record is from RefSeq and is a predicted model, not a curated record.
AAGAAUUAAAUGGAUGAAAUAUGAAGUUUUAUUAAAAGAAAAAGGGGUGAAAAGAACAAAGUUUUGUCCAUCUUUGUUCAUCAUAGCUGAAAGUUAGAGAAGAGAAAGAAGAGGAGAAAGCUCUUGAGUGUUCGGUCACUUGGGGAAGAAAAUUGAAGGCAGUUCGUGUGUGGAUCUCGUCAGCAUAUCGUCGCAAACAGGUAAUCCCCAACCAUAGUGGGCUUGGAGCUGUGAGGGAAUUCAGAGUGACCACCCGUUCUAAAAGUUUGAUUUUCUUCUGAUCCGGCCAUAACUUCUGGGCCGGGUUCGGGGUGCUACAUCUUAGGCAUUCCAAAGCCUAUAAAUACACCCUAGAGGAGGAAGAAAGAAACACACGGAGAGAAGGAGGCAGGGAACUGCUCAAGGGAAGCCGAUUGAUCCAUCUCAGAAGCCGGAUUCACCAUCAAGACUGAAGAUCUCCCCUCAAUUUCCCUCCAGGAGUUUUAGGUUUUCUUUAUGUUUUGUAUUCAUUAUUCUUCUGAGAUGUUUUCCUUUUUAGUUAUGAACUAAAUCCCCUAAAUACCUAAGGGGAAUGAAACCUAAGACGAAUCUU